UCGUAACAUUUGACGACCCAUAGGAUAGAGAUAAAGGUCUUUUACCUCUGAACAUCCCAAAAUCAAAAUGGUGAUGCAAGUGCUGAGGAAUUAUUGGUGGGCAGCCAUCACACCUGCCUUUGCUCUGGUAGGGUACUACCUUGACGCGCAGCAGACUGUCCGCUACUCUGGCUGGAAGAACAAGACAGAGCUGUACAAGAGGGAGUUAAAACAAGGGGAGGACCCAUGGACCUCCACCAUCAGAUCCUGAAGAGAGAACAGAGGGCUUUUAAACAUGGAUGAUCUAUUGACAAGUGGGCCAUUGUGGAAAUUCAGUUUAGAAUAUCAAACAUUGAUUGGAAGUUGACACGUGUUAGCGGUAGUCAUUAUUUAUCAAUCAUCAGUGAUUGGGUAAUGCCGAUGUCGUUGGUGUGUUAACAGAAAAUACCUCUUGUGCAGAUAAGUACUCCUCAAACACUAUGCAAUACACCAAUCUAUAGUUUACUGUGUACAGGACUGAAUCUGUAAUGAAAGCAGAACAUGUAGGCUGUAAAUAGUGGAGUCAGUCAAGCCUCGAGGAAAUGCCAGAGGCUUAAGCUCGUCUAAAAACAUCAUCUUCAUGUACAAGUAGAUGUUCAUGGUUGACUUUGGUUAAAAUGUGUCAAAUUUCAGUUAUUAUACUCUGCAUUUGAAUUAAUAUAUUUUGAUGUACUCAGCAAUACAUUGGCGUUGAUGCUUCAUCAAUUGUCAUUGGUGAAAGGCUCCACAGGCUUUUUAACUGGUUGAUUUUUAUUUUGUUUCAUACUGUGCAUUAACUGUAAUAAAUAAAACCAACAAACUGUGAA
This is a long non-coding RNA of Strongylocentrotus purpuratus (purple sea urchin), 824 nucleotides long. RefSeq lists it as uncharacterized. NCBI's taxonomy places the organism in Eukaryota, Metazoa, Echinodermata, Echinoidea, Camarodonta, Strongylocentrotidae. The record is from RefSeq and is a predicted model, not a curated record. The transcript has 2 exons.